This 253-nucleotide ribosomal RNA is filed under the name uncultured bacterium. RNAcentral describes it as "partial 16S ribosomal RNA". It matches the Rfam family "Bacterial small subunit ribosomal RNA", at positions 524 to 776 of the family's 1533-position model. The record is from RNAcentral.
GACGUAGGGCGCGAGCGUUGUCCGGAUUUAUUGGGCGUAAAGAGCUCGUAGGCGGCUUGUCGCGUCGUCCGUGAAAACUCGGGGCUUAACCCCGAGCCUGCAUUCGAUACGGGCAGGCUAGAGUUCGGCAGGGGAGACUGGAAUUCCUGGUGUAGCGGUGAAAUGCGCAGAUAUCAGGAGGAACACCGGUGGCGAAGGCGGGUCUCUGGGACGUUACUGACACUGAGGCGCGAAAGCGUGGGGAGCGAACAGG